GUGGUCUGGCACGUGAUAGACAACGGACCGAUCUCGUCAUGUGCCCGAUGGGAGCGACGGACUGCUCCGAGGCCUUUGCUCAGCCGCAUUCGUUAUAUGAACUCAUUUACCUUGUUUAGUAUAUACGGAGAUGUUCCAGUGUGUUGUGAGACGUGA
This 156-nucleotide long non-coding RNA is filed under the name Dermacentor andersoni. RNAcentral's name for it is "uncharacterized LOC126526658". The record is from RNAcentral. Lineage: Eukaryota; Metazoa; Arthropoda; Arachnida; Ixodida; Ixodidae.